Long non-coding RNA from Dermacentor silvarum, 799 nucleotides. RefSeq lists it as uncharacterized. The record is from RefSeq and is a predicted model, not a curated record. The transcript is spliced from 4 exons. Lineage: Eukaryota; Metazoa; Arthropoda; Arachnida; Ixodida; Ixodidae.
UGCUGUGCGUGCGCGCUGCAUUGAGGCAGGUCGAUGUGGAUGUUUAAUCGUGUGUACGCUGUGCCGAGAGAAAAUGUCGUGCCCCUUGUGUGCUUUGAUGAUCACUUAGCCCCUGGGACCGCGUAACGUAGCUCGCAGUAUCUUCGUGUGGUUCGCCGAUGUCGAUUAUCGUACUUAUGGCCCGCUCGCGCUUUCUUUGUUCCCGGCUCAUGAAAAAGCCUCUGAUAAUAUCGCAUCGGAUCACAGUGCACGGAAGAAUUUGUUGAGGUAUUACGUGCUGUAGUUCAUCCGCAAUUCAACAGUGUUUACGUCGGAAGGAUCGUCGUGCAGUCGACGCCGGGACCUGACAUGAAGGAGCGUUUGCCGACUACGCCUAGAAAGGGAUGUCAAGAUUUCGUGAACCAGAGGCAUCUCUACACCGCAUAGGAACCUAAGACAUUUCUGCAGCCGGAACAGCACGGCAAAGCAUCUGAUCUGCAUGCUGCGACAAGGUAUGGCUGGGCCUGGAGAUGAAGUGUAAGCAGACCAUGCUAUGCUGCGGAUUGGUGCCAAUCUUCACAUCCGAGUUGUUCCCACGACAGUCAAGCACCACUGUGAUUUGCUUCAUUGGCAAGGUAAUAUAAUAUGGUGCCCUGCAAGCUCUCACCAAAGCAACACAUUCCACUGGUUUUCUGUCAGAGUACCAUUAGGAUUUCGAAUAAACUAUGCUUGUCAGAUGUGCGACAUGCCCCGUCUUAAAAUUGGAGCGCUUCAGUAUUAAUGUUUGAAUGGGUGUACAUAAAAACAUACGUAAAGUAUA